This 468-nucleotide ribosomal RNA is filed under the name uncultured bacterium. RNAcentral's name for it is "partial 16S ribosomal RNA". It matches the Rfam family "Bacterial small subunit ribosomal RNA", at positions 28 to 507 of the family's 1533-position model. The record is from RNAcentral.
GACGAACGCUGGCGGCGUGCUUAACACAUGCAAGUCGAACGGAAAGGCCCUGCUUUUGUGGGUUUCUCGAUUGGCGAACGGGUGAGUAACACGUGAGUAACCUGCCCUUGACUUUGGGAUAACUUCAGGGAACUGGGGCUAAUACCGGAUAGGAGCUCCUGCUGCAUGGGGGUGGUUGGAAAGUUUCGGCGGUUGGGGAUGGACUCGCGGCUUAUCAGCUUGUUUGUGGGGUAGUGGCUUACCAAGGCUUUGACGGGUAGCCUGCCUGAGAGGGUUACCGGCGACCAUGGGCCUGAGAUACGGACCAGAAUCGUACGGGAGGCAGCAGUCGGGAAUAUUGCAGAAUGGGCGGACGCCUGAUGCAGCAGCGCUGCGUGCGGGAUGACGGCCUUUGGGUUGUAAACAGAUUUCGACGGUGACGAAGAGUGAGUGACGGUAAUGGGUAAAGAAGCAACGGCUAACUACGUG